AGGCGCUUGCGCUAUGCUCGUGGGCGUCGCCCAAGGAUGGGGCCGCGACCGAUCAGGUUGUUGGUGAGGUAAUGGCUCACCAAGCCGUUUACCGGUACGGGCCGUGAGAGCGGGAGCCCGGAUAUGGGCACUGAGACAAGGGCCCAGGCCCUACGGGGCGCACCAGUCGCGCAAACUUUGCAAUACACGAAAGUGUGACAGGGCUAUCCCGAGUGCCGCCCGCUGAGGGUGGCUUUUA
RNAcentral lists this ribosomal RNA (238 nucleotides) under uncultured archaeon. Its description in RNAcentral is "partial 16S ribosomal RNA". It matches the Rfam family "Archaeal small subunit ribosomal RNA", at positions 178 to 412 of the family's 1478-position model. The record is from RNAcentral.